CCUACGGGAGGCAGCAGUAAGGAAUAUUGGACAAUGGCCGCAAGGCUGAUCCAGCCAUGCCGCGUGCAGGAAGAAGGCCCUAUGGGUCGUAAACUGCUUUUGAACCAGAGAAAACCCCACUACGUGUAGUGGGCUGAUAGUAUGGUUAGAAUAAGCAUCGGCUAACUUCGUGCCAGCAGCCGCGGUAAGACGAAGGAUGCAAGCGUUAUCCGGAUUCAUUGGGUUUAAAGGGAGCGUAGGCGGACUUGUAAGUCAGUGGUGAAAUCUGUGGGCUUAACCCACAAACUGCCAUUGAUACUGCGGGUCUAGAGUACAGUUGCCGUUGGCGGAAUAUGACAUGUAGUGGUGAAAUACUUAGAUAUGUCAUAGAACACCGAUUGCGAAGGCAGCUAACGAAGCUGUAACUGACGCUGAGGCUCGAAAGUGCGGGGAUCAAACAGGAUUAGAUACCCUGGUAGUCCGCACUAGUAACGUAUAGUAUUACUUCGUUGUCGUGGAAGACUAAUUUACUUAGUGACCGAACGACGAAACGACGAGUAAGUAAAUACCACCGUCGGGAGGUACGGCCGGCCGACGGUAGAAACGUACGAAAUAGAAGUUAGUACGGACGUGAGACGUUGCCGACGGGACGACCGACCGACGGGGAGGGUAGGGNG
Molecule: ribosomal RNA, 656 nt
Filed under: uncultured bacterium
Lineage: Bacteria
Description: bacterial SSU rRNA
Rfam family: Bacterial small subunit ribosomal RNA (bases 1-552)
Source: RNAcentral